Molecule: ribosomal RNA, 246 nt
Filed under: Ditylum brightwellii
Lineage: Eukaryota; Bacillariophyta; Thalassiosirophyceae; Lithodesmiales; Lithodesmiaceae
Description: partial Bacterial small subunit ribosomal RNA
Rfam family: Bacterial small subunit ribosomal RNA
Source: RNAcentral
UAAGUUGGAUGUGAAAUCCCCGGGCUCAACCUGGGAACUGCAUUUGUGACUGUAUAGCUAGAGUACGGCAGAGGGGGAUGGAAUUCCGCGUGUAGCAGUGAAAUGCGUAGAUAUGCGGAGGAACACCGAUGGCGAAGGCAAUCCCCUGGGCCUGUACUGACGCUCAUGCACGAAAGCGUGGGGAGCAAACAGGAUUAGAUACCCUGGAGUCCAUGCCGUAAACGAUGUCUACUAGCCGUUGGGGUC